CACCACUCUCGGUGGGCCG
RNAcentral lists this small nuclear RNA (19 nucleotides) under Arabidopsis thaliana (thale cress). RNAcentral's name for it is "snRNA_15417". The record is from RNAcentral. Lineage: Eukaryota; Viridiplantae; Streptophyta; Magnoliopsida; Brassicales; Brassicaceae.